Molecule: ribosomal RNA, 179 nt
Filed under: uncultured bacterium
Lineage: Bacteria
Description: partial 16S ribosomal RNA
Rfam family: Bacterial small subunit ribosomal RNA
Source: RNAcentral
UGAAGCCGGAAUUGCUAGUAAUGGCAGGUCAGCAUACUGCCGUGAAUACGUUCCCGGGCCUUGUACACACCGCCCGUCACACCAUGAGAGUUGGGAAUACCCGAAGCCUGUGAGCUAACUAUAUGAGGCAGCAGUCGAAGGUAGAAUCAAUGAUUGGGGUGAAGUCGUAACAAGGUAAC